This is a non-coding RNA of Xyrichtys novacula (pearly razorfish), 853 nucleotides long. NCBI's taxonomy places the organism in Eukaryota, Metazoa, Chordata, Actinopteri, Labriformes, Labridae. The record is from the annotation of a GenBank genome assembly.
CCCAAAUAUUUUUUUCUUCAUUUUACAUUUUUGUUGUUGAAACCAACUCCAAAAGGUUGGAAAAGAGUUCCUACAAAGGUUUUGGACAGUGAUUUUAACCUUAAUGCCAAAAAACUUAACCCUUACCCUGGCCUUAAAAUCUAAUACUACUACAUUAAGGAAGCCCGGAAACCCCAAAUAUAUUUUUUUUCAUUUUUCAUUUUUUUUGGUCUAACUAACUCCAAAAGGUUGGAAAAGAGUUCCUACAAAGGUUUUGGACAGUGAUUUUAACCCUAAUGCCAAAAACCUUAAACCUUUCCCUAGUCCCAAAACCUAAUACCCGGGUAUUACUUUCAGGGAGCCCGAAAACCCCCAAUAAUUUUUUUUUCUUUUUCAUUUUUUUUGGUCUAACUAACUCCAAAAGGUUGGAAAAGAGUUCCUACAAAGGUUUUGGACAGUGAUUUUAACCCUAACGCCAAAAACCUUAAACCUUACCCUAGCCUUAAAAUCUAAUACCCGGGUAUUACCUUCAGGAAGCCCGAACACCCCAAAUAUUUUUUUCUUCAUUUUACAUUUUUGUUGGUGAAACCAACUCCAAAAGGUUGGAAAAGAGUUCCUACAAAGGUUUUGGACAGUGAUUUUAACCCUAACGCCAAAAACCUUAAAACUUACCAUAGCCCCAUAACCUAAUUCCCGGGUAUUACCUUCAGGAAGCCCGAACACCCCAAAUAUUUUUUUUUCAUUUUACAUUUUUGUUGGUGUAACCAACUCAGAAAGGUUGGAAAAGAGUUCCUACAAAGGUUUUGGACAGUGAUUUUAACCCUAAUGUCAAAAACCUUAAACCUUACCCUAGCCCCAAAACCUAAUACCUGGA